This 506-nucleotide ribosomal RNA is filed under the name uncultured bacterium. Its description in RNAcentral is "partial 16S ribosomal RNA". It matches the Rfam family "Bacterial small subunit ribosomal RNA", at positions 28 to 523 of the family's 1533-position model. The record is from RNAcentral.
GAUGAACGCUAGCUACAGGCUUAACACAUGCAAGUCGAGGGGUAACAAGAGAAAAGCUUGCUUUUCUUGUUGACGACCGGCGCACGGGUGAGUAACGCGUAUCCAACCUGCCUAUAACUAGGGAAUAACCUUGCGAAAGUAAGACUAAUACCCUAUGAUUUCCUUUGAUGACAUCAGAUUAGGAAUAAAGAUUUAUCGGUUAUAGAUGGGGAUGCGUCUGAUUAGCUUGUUGGCGGGGUAACGGCCCACCAAGGCAACCAUCAGUAGGGGUUCUGAGAGGGAGGGCCCCCACAUUGGAACUGAGACACGGUCCAAACUCCUACGGGAGGCAGCAGUGAGGAAUAUUGGUCAAUAGGCGGAAGCCUGAACCAGCCAAGUAGCGUGCAGGAUGACGGCCCUAUGUGUUGUAAACUGCUUUUAUACAGGAAUAAAGUUAGCCACGUGUGGUUAUUUGUAGGUACUGUAUGAAUAAGGACCGGCUAAUUCCGUGCCAGCAACCGCAGUAA